This is a non-coding RNA of Camellia sinensis, 541 nucleotides long. Lineage: Eukaryota; Viridiplantae; Streptophyta; Magnoliopsida; Ericales; Theaceae. The record is from RefSeq and is a predicted model, not a curated record.
GCCAAAUAAAUUGAGAGGGAUAUGAUGAAUUCGAAAACAAUUUGAGGAUGAUAGUAGAUGUACGAGAUGUAGCUGAAGCACUGCUAUUGGCAUAUGAGAAGCCCGAAGCCGAAGGAAGGUAUAUAUAUGCACAGCUUACAUGAUCAAGUCACAAGAUCUGGUGGAAAUACUCAGGAAAAACUACCCGAACUACAAUUAUCCUAAGAAAUUUACUGAGGGAAAGGAAGAAGAAAAGCUCAGUUCAGAGAAAUUGCAGAAGCUGGGUUGGAGUUACAGACCGAUAGAAGAAACUCUGGUUGAUUCCAUUGAAAUCUGUAGACUAGCCGGACUUCUGGACUAAAUGAUCUUGGCAUUCUGUUGUAGUUUUUACAAGUUGUAUCAUCAAGCAUUCUCAUAUCCAGAACCUCUUUGUUCUAUAGAUGUUGUAUUGGGUAUUGUUGUAAACGAUCCUUGUUCAUUUUGCAAUAGCGUUGCGACUCAUGACUCCAGUUAAUUUGAAAUAUGGUAUUUGAACACUGCAAUUAAUGUUACACGAUUACAU